GGCAGCACGGGGGCAACCCUGGUGGCGAGUGGCGAACGGGUGAGUAAUACAUCGGAAUGUACCCAGUAGUGGGGGAUAGCUCGGCGAAAGCCGGAUUAAUACCGCAUACGCACUGAGGUGGAAAGCGGGGGACCGUAAGGCCUCGCGCUAUUGGAGCAGCCGAUGUCGGAUUAGCUAGUUGGUGAGGUAAAGGCUCACCAAGGCUACGAUCCGUAACUGGUCUGAGAGGACGACCAGUCACACUGGGACUGAGACACGGCCCAGACUCCUACGGGAGGCAGCAGUGGGGAAUUUUGGACAAUGGGGGCAACCCUGAUCCAGCAAUGCCGCGUGUGUGAAGAAGGCCUUCGGGUUGUAAAGCACUUUUGGCAGGGAAGAAACGGUCUGUGCUAAUACCAUGGGCUAAUGACGGUACCUGCAGAAUAAGCACCGGCUAACUACGUGCCAGCAGCCGCGGUAAUACGUAGGGUGCAAGCGUUAAUCGGAUUUACUGGGCGUAAAGCGUGCGC
Molecule: ribosomal RNA, 509 nt
Filed under: uncultured beta proteobacterium
Lineage: Bacteria; Pseudomonadati; Pseudomonadota; Betaproteobacteria
Description: bacterial SSU rRNA
Rfam family: Bacterial small subunit ribosomal RNA
Source: RNAcentral